CCUCUGAUUAAUCACCUGAGGUGAGCCAUGAGUCAGCCAGAGGAGCACAGGUGAAGGCAAUUCACCUGUGCUGCCGGAAGGGGUGGAGCCAGGCUCCAUCCCUCCUGGACCUAUUUAAGAGCUGGCUACCAGAGGGGAAGGAUCUCUUCUGGAGAUCCCCUCUUUUGGUAUCUUCUAGUGAGCUCAACCCAAGGUGAUGACUACCAGCAUCUGUACCUUCAGUGUUAAUAGUUCAUAGACUGCUAAAGUCCAUAGAACAAGCAAAGGAAAUGCAUCUGCCUGAAAAUUUGAAGUUCCUCAGAACAUCCCAGGAAUAAUCCUCUGAAAAUUGACUGCUCACCAGAAGGGAGAGUAGAAACUAGGGCCAAGUGUGGGAGAGCCAAGAUCUAGGAGAAGUGAGCAGACAACACCAGCAGCCAAUAAAGACAGCAAUGCCAGGAGUGUUAUUUCCAGUCUAGUCAUGACUUUUAAAUCCCUUCAAAAAAAAUCCUCCUCAUCCACGCUAGUGGUUCUGGACAGCCUCUACAUUAAUCACUUGCAGGAAAACAAGUCAACACUGUGCUUGGGCAAGCAAAAAGCUCAUGAAACUUCAUGUAAAAUUUAAAAGUGAGCUCUGCGUAGCAUUUAGAAUCCAAAUACGAUGGAAAGAAAGCACUGGUUCAACAAUAGAGCAUCUGCAACCACUUCCAGCGAAGAUGGAAGAUAAGCUGGUGCUAGAGGAAUGCUCAGGAGGAGCCUUUGUGCGUGAUAGAUGCCUUCAGCAUUCCAGCUUCCUGACUAUUGUCAUCAUUUGGUAGAAGGAAAAACACUGCUGAGACUAAGAUAUUUUUAAUAUACUCACACACAAAUAUUUAUUGGCUCACAGAAUAGUUAUCUAAUUGUCUCCCAUCCAGUUUCUAAGCAAGAUUCAAAUUUGUCAACAAUUUAGGAUCACUUACAGUAUUAUCUUGGUUCGUGCUGACUUCUAGAUGAUGCUGGACAAGACAAGCAUUUUUCAGAAUCACACAAAUCAACAUUUUAAAUAGUGAAUAGUGAAGGAAAAAAGAAUCCUGCUAGAUGAAAAGAUUGUGGCCGUUUUGCUGAAUCUGAACUUUGAAUGUAAUUUACUUCGAAAUGGAUUAAUUCUCAAGUUCUACCUUUUCCCACAAUAUGAGUGCACUAUGUACAGCAAGUUUUACUGUAUUUCAUAUGCUGGUUAACACUGAAGGUUUCUUCUAUCAUUUGUCUAAAAUAAUGUACAUCUUUUCCACUACAUUCCUGUAUUGUCUGUAUACACUUGAGACUGUUUUCCUUGGAUGUUUUUUGUUUUUAGGAUCCUUAACUUAAUAUCAUGUCCACGUCAGGCUUAUUCAAAUCUGCUGUCCUUGUUACAUGAAGAACUGAUUUUAUUGUCAUAGCAAAAUACCAUAACAAAAUCCAUAUCAGUUGAUGAUCCUUGGGUUUCUAUAAUAGUGGUAACGAUCCUUAAAACAUUCAUCACCCACUGUUAGAAAUGACAAAUUUUUACUUCAUUAUAUAAUUGGUUCUUUUUUUUGUGUGUGUAUUAUGUUUUGCUUUUCCCAUCUGUUAAGUUUCCAUGAAGUUGCAACACAGUUUUGGCACAAACUAAGUAAUUUCCAUCACAUUGUAUUCAUCUCUUCUCGUGUUUUGGUCAAACAUCUGGAAUCGUUCUGCAUCUCUCAGUAGAGCAAACAUUGCCCAAAUCUUAAUCCACAGAAGAGCAGAGAAACUUGACACUAGGCGAUGCUUUGACUCAUGUACUAGGUUCUGCAACUUCAUAAUCAAGUAUAUUAAUUUCCCACCAUAAUUCAAGCCUACUCCAAUUCAAUACUGUCAAAUUACAUGUACAGAACACUUCUAAUAAUUAUAGCCCAAUAUAUAUCAGAAAGUAGGAGAAUAAUGAAACAAUACACUGUAAAUAUGUGUGCAAUUCCAAAAAUUUCAGAGCAUUUUUUGGACUGCUUUAAGAAACUGCAUAUGGCUUGGAGAAUCCACCUCUUUUCUCUUGCAUAUUGCCAAGAUUUCUUAGUAAGACAUCUUCAGACAGAAGACCGCCAGCUUUGCUUAUCUGAAUAGUUGAAGAGAGGCAACGACCAUCUCUACAGCAAAAAGCCUCUUUGCUCAAGGAGCAACACUGUUCAUUCCCUACCAUGAUAGCUGCCAGAAACAUUGCUCGCACUGCAAGGAAAGUGGCAGUCAAGCUCUCAUGUGCCAUCAUUGCUCCUCCUUUUUCCCAUACUAUCUUAACCACUCUGCUAAAUGAAGCCAUAUAGUAGUCCCAUUAUAAGCAAUAUUUCCAAGUAAACAGACUGCAAAGGAAACUCACUUGAGAUCCCUGUAGUUAACUAUUGCUCAGGCAUCAAAGGUGCGGCGCUAUUUGCAGGUCCACCUGCCUGUGCAAUUUUCACUUAGUUUAUGCCAGUGCCUGUCAAAUAGUUGACAUCUCCCGUUCCCAUAUCAUUUCCCUAAAUAUUUACUAGGCAUAACAAGAUAACAGAUUUUUAAAAGGUCAGUGAUCCAAGAAAACUAAUUUGAGUAAAUGGAAGGAAGUCUGUACAAGAUUCACAAAGAAAGCAAACAUCAUACUGGAAUAAUGAAAUGCCUAGAUUUGCUGUGUCAAUUAAGUAAAAUUAAAUGCAUGUUCCUACAUUGCAAGCACAUGGACAAGAUUGACUCAAAACAACCUAAAUAUUACCCAGGUGCAAAAGCGAUGUCUCUAGCUAGAUUUUGGCUGGUUCCAUUGACAGCAUCCCAAAUAAAGGAUUCCUUUUAUUUCUCAAAAAUUGAGCUCUUUUACACUGAAUGUGAAACUAUGAUGACCUCCACAGAAGAAUACAUACAACCAAAGUAAAAUCUACACAGUACUUAAAAUAAGAAGACCAAAAGAACGAAACCUGCGUAAGCUGAAUCAUGAACACCUGCUCUGAUCUGAACCCGAAAUAACUAAACUCCUUCUGCAUGUUUUUUGAACAAGGUGCAGCCAAAAAGGUAUUCUCAUUUAAAAGCUAACUGUAUUGUGUGAAUACAAAAAAAAAACAA
Long non-coding RNA from Lagopus muta (rock ptarmigan), 3039 nucleotides. RefSeq lists it as uncharacterized. The record is from RefSeq and is a predicted model, not a curated record. The transcript has 2 exons. NCBI's taxonomy places the organism in Eukaryota, Metazoa, Chordata, Aves, Galliformes, Phasianidae.